GUAGGGCGCAAGCGUUAUCCGGAAUUAUUGGGCGUAAAGAGCUCGUAGGCGGUUUGUCGCGUCUGCUGUGAAAUCCCGAGGCUCAACUUCGGGUCUGCAGUGGGUACGGGCAGACUAGAGUGCGGUAGGGGAGAUUGGAAUUCCUGGUGUAGCGGUGGAAUGCGCAGAUAUCAGGAGGAACACCGAUGGCGAAGGCAGAUCUCUGGGCCGUAACUGACGCUGAGGAGCGAAAGGGUGGGGAGCAAACAGGCUUAGAUACCCUGGUAGUCCACCCCGUAAACGUUGGGAACUAGUUGUGGGGUCCAUUCCACGGAUUCCGUGACGCAGCUAACGCAUUAAGUUCCCCGCCUGGGGAGUACGGCCGCGAGGCUA
This 372-nucleotide ribosomal RNA is filed under the name uncultured bacterium. RNAcentral describes it as "bacterial SSU rRNA". It matches the Rfam family "Bacterial small subunit ribosomal RNA", at positions 527 to 896 of the family's 1533-position model. The record is from RNAcentral.